This 764-nucleotide ribosomal RNA is filed under the name Chlorophanus sibiricus. RNAcentral describes it as "eukaryotic LSU rRNA". It matches the Rfam family "Eukaryotic large subunit ribosomal RNA", at positions 407 to 944 of the family's 3401-position model. The record is from RNAcentral. Lineage: Eukaryota; Metazoa; Arthropoda; Insecta; Coleoptera; Curculionidae.
GUUUAGGGGUAAACCUGAGAAACCCGAAAGGUCGAAGGGAGAAAUUCAUUCGCGUUUCGCCGACGGCGUGAGACGGUCGUGUGACGGAAGACGUUCGCGUUUUCCGCUCCCUCCGUUUUUCGAUCCGAUAGUGAACGCGUGCACUUUUCUCCCGGUAGGACGUCGCGAUCCGUUGGGUGUCGGUCUACGGCUCGCGGUGGAGCCCGUACGUACGGCUUGCCGUUUCGUGCGGACCCGCGUGUCCCGGCUGACUCGCUCGACGGUAUACGAAAGGUUUAAGGCCGCUCUUUGAGCGUUCGGCUCGUCGCAAGCGCGUCAGAUGUGUCGGCGACCGGUCACGGUUCCGACCUCUGGCGACUGUUGGCGACGAAGUUCUCGAACAGACCUCGGACCGAUCUGCGACGCUAUAGCUUUGGGUACUUUCAGGACCCGUCUUGAAACACGGACCAAGGAGUCUAGCAUGUACGCGAGUCAUUGGGAAUCACUAAACCUAAAGGCGAAAUGAAAGUAAAGGUCCGCCUCGCGCGGACCAAGGGAAGACGGGCGGUUUACCCUUAAAAGUGGCCGCCUCGCACUCCCGGGACGUCUCGUUCUCAUCGCGAGAAGAGGCGCACCAAGAGCGUACACGCUGGGACCCGAAAGAUGGUGAACUAUGCCUGGUCAGGACGAAGUCAGGGGAAACCCUGAUGGAGGUCCGUAGCGAUUCUGACGUGCAAAUCGAUCGUCGGAACUGGGUAUAGCGGCGAAAGACUAAUCGAACCAUC